GACAAACGCUGGCGGCGCGCUUAACACAUGCAAGUCGAGCGAUGAAAUCUUAACAGAACCCUUCGGGGUGAAGAUAAGACGGAUUAGCGGCGGACGGGUGAGUAACACGUGAGUAACCUGCCUUUUACACAGGGAUAGCCUCAGGAAACCGGGAUUAAAACCUGAUGAAACUAUCAAAUCACAUGAUUAAGAAAGUUAAAACUCCGGUGGUAAAAGAUGGACUCGCGUCCCAUUAGCUAGUUGGUGAAGGUAACGGCCCACCAAGGCAACGAUGGGUAGCCGGCCUGAGAGGGUGAACGGCCACAUUGGAACUGAGAAACGGUCCAAACUCCUACGGGAGGCAGCAGUGGGGAAUAUUGCACAAUGGGGGAAACCCUGAUGCAGCGACGCCGCGUGAGCGAAGAAGGCCUUCGGGUCGUAAAGCUCUUUUAUAUGGGAAGAUAAUGACGGUACCAUAAGAAAAAGCCCCGGCUAACUACGUG
This 482-nucleotide ribosomal RNA is filed under the name uncultured bacterium. RNAcentral describes it as "partial 16S ribosomal RNA". It matches the Rfam family "Bacterial small subunit ribosomal RNA", at positions 28 to 507 of the family's 1533-position model. The record is from RNAcentral.